GUUGCACCAUACCACUGUCUUCCCCAUCGUAUCAUGAAAGGUCAUGUUAUGUUGAUUUAACCUCUGCCUCUCUCUUCCUCUGACUCCUCCCUUUCUCUCUAUCUCUCUGUCUCUCUCUCUCUCUCUUUCUCCUCUGUCUCUCUCUUUCUCCUCAGAUCUCCAGGGUCAAAGCGUCAGUCCACCAGAUCUCCAGGCUCAAAGUGUCAGUCCACCAGCUGAACUCUCAGUCAGACUGGUGGAUGGAACCACUUCCUGUUCUGGGACAGUGGAAGUCUUCUAUGAAGGAGAGUGGUCAGGUCUAUGUUUUAAGUGGUGGGGAAUGAGGAGAGAUGUUAAGGUUGUGUGUAGAGAGAUGGACUGUGGGAAUCCUGUAUCUGUAUCUAGAGGACCUCUGAUAGAAGAUGGAAGAAGAGGAGUCAGACUAUUUAGUAUUUGUAGUGGAGAUGAGUCUUCUAUUAGACAGUGUAACAUCAUAGAAGAACCUGGUUUCUGUUAUGGUGAAUAUUAUCAUCAUGUGACCUGUUCAGAGUCUGUGCGGCUUGUGGGUGGAUCUGGUUUCUGCUCUGGGAGAGUGGAGGUGAAGUCCAAUCAGUCCUGGGCCUCAGUGUGUGAAGCUGACUUUGACCGGCAGGAUGCAGAGGUAGUCUGUAGGGAUGUUGGCUGUGGGGCUCCUGC
Molecule: non-coding RNA, 675 nt
Organism: Oncorhynchus mykiss (rainbow trout)
Lineage: Eukaryota; Metazoa; Chordata; Actinopteri; Salmoniformes; Salmonidae
Source: RefSeq, a predicted model, not a curated record